AUUGAACGCUGGCGGCAGGCCUAACACAUGCAAGUCGAGCGGAUGAAGGGAGCUUGCUCCUGGAUUCAGCGGCGGACGGGUGGGUAAUUCCUAGGAAUCUGCCUGGCAGUGGGGGAUAACGUCCGGAAACGGGCGCUAAUACCGCAUACGUCCUGAGGGUGAAAGUGGGGGAUCUUCGGACCUCACGCUAUCAGAUGAGCCUAGGUCGUAUUAGCUAGUUGGUGGGGUAAAGGCCUACCAAGGCGACGAUCCGUAACUGGUCUGAGAGGAUGAUCAGUCACACUGGAACUGAGACACGGUCCAGACUCCUACGGGAGGCAGCAGUGGGGAAUAUUGGACAAUGGGCGAAAGCCUGAUCCAGCCAUGCCGCGUGUGUGAAGAAGGUCUUCGGAUUGUAAAGCACUUUAAGUUGGGAGGAAGAGCAGUAAGUUAAUACCUUGCUGUUUUGACGUUACCAAAAGAAUAAGCACCGGCUAACUUCGUG
This 484-nucleotide ribosomal RNA is filed under the name uncultured bacterium. RNAcentral's name for it is "partial 16S ribosomal RNA". It matches the Rfam family "Bacterial small subunit ribosomal RNA", at positions 30 to 507 of the family's 1533-position model. The record is from RNAcentral.